CAGUCGCCGCGGUAAUACGUAGGGUGCGAGCGUUAAUCGGAAUUACUGGGCGUAAAGCGUGCGCAGGCGGUUUGUUAAGACAGAUGUGAAAUCCCCGGGCUCAACCUGGGAACUGCAUUUGUGACUGGCAAGCUAGAGUGUGGCAGAAGGGGGUGGAAUUCCGCGUGUAGCAGUGAAAUGCGUAGAUAUGCGGAGGAACACCGAUGGCGAAGGCAGCCCCCUGGGCCAACACUGACGCUCAUGCACGAAAGCGUGGGGAGCAAACAGGAUUAGAUACCCCCGUAGUCCCUGUCUCUUAUAC
This 301-nucleotide ribosomal RNA is filed under the name uncultured bacterium. RNAcentral describes it as "partial 16S ribosomal RNA". It matches the Rfam family "Bacterial small subunit ribosomal RNA", at positions 509 to 807 of the family's 1533-position model. The record is from RNAcentral.